Molecule: ribosomal RNA, 253 nt
Filed under: uncultured bacterium
Lineage: Bacteria
Description: partial 16S ribosomal RNA
Rfam family: Bacterial small subunit ribosomal RNA
Source: RNAcentral
UACGAAGGGGGCAAGCGUUAUUCGGAAUUACUGGGCGUAAAGAGCGUGUAGGUGGUUGUCUAAGUCAGUUGUUAAAUAUCACGGCCUAACUGUGAGACUGCGAUUGAUACUGGAUAACUAGAGGGCAGGAGAGAGAAGUGGAAUUCUCGGAGUAGCGGUAAAAUGCGUAGAUCUCGAGAGGAACACCGAUGGCGAAGGCAGCUUCUUGGUCUGUCCCUGACACUCAAAUGCGACAGCGUGGGGAGCAAACAGG